AACGAACGCUGGCGGCAGGCCUAACACAUGCAAGUCGAGCGCGCCCUUCGGGGUGAGCGGCGGACGGGUGAGUAACGCGUGGGAACGUGCCCUUCUCUGCGGAAUAGCCUCGGGAAACUGAGAGUAAUACCGCAUACGCCCUUUGGGGGAAAGAUUUAUCGGAGAAGGAUCGGCCCGCGUUGGAUUAGGUGGUUGGUGGGGUAAUGGCCCACCAUGCCGACGAUCCAUAGCUGGUUUGAGAGGAUGAUCAGCCACACUGGGACUGAGACACGGCCCAGACUCCUACGGGAGGCAGGAGUGGGUAAUCUUAGACAAUGGGGGCAACCCUGAUCGAGCCAUGCCGCGUGAGUGAUGAUGGCCUUAGGGUUGUAAUGCUCUUUCAGCUGGGAAGAUAAUGACGGUACCAGCAGAAGAAGCCCCGGCUAACUCCGUG
Molecule: ribosomal RNA, 433 nt
Filed under: uncultured bacterium
Lineage: Bacteria
Description: partial 16S ribosomal RNA
Rfam family: Bacterial small subunit ribosomal RNA
Source: RNAcentral